AGCAGCCGCGGUAAUUCCAGCUCCAAUAGCGUAUAUUAAAGUUGUUGCAGUUAAAAAAGCUCGUAGUUGAAUUUCGGGAUUAGUACGCUGGUCGUGCCUUCGGUACGUACUGGUGUUACUGAUUCCUACCUUCUGACGAACCAUCAUGUCAUUAAUUUGGUGUGGCGGGGAAUCAGGACUGUUACUUUGAAAAAAUUAGAGUGUUUAAAGCAGGCUCGCGCUUGAAUACAUUAGCAUGGAAUAAUGAGAUAGGACGUUGAUCCUAUUUUGUUGGUUUCUAGGAUUGACGUAAUGAUUAAUAGGGAUAGUUGGGGGCAUUAGUAUUCAAUUGUCAGAGGUGAAAUUCUUGGAUUUAUUGAAGACUAACUACUGCGAAAGCAUUUGCCAAGGAUGUUUUCAUUAAUCAAGAACGAAAGUUAGGGGAUCGAAGACGAUCAGAUACCGUCGUAGUCUUAACCAUAAACUAUGCCGACGUAGGGAUCGGAGUGAUGUUAUUUUUAAUGUACUCAUUCGGCGUCCG
RNAcentral lists this ribosomal RNA (520 nucleotides) under uncultured Glomus. Its description in RNAcentral is "SSU rRNA". It matches the Rfam family "Eukaryotic small subunit ribosomal RNA", at positions 569 to 1089 of the family's 1831-position model. Lineage: Eukaryota; Fungi; Glomeromycota; Glomeromycetes; Glomerales; Glomeraceae. The record is from RNAcentral.